This 499-nucleotide ribosomal RNA is filed under the name uncultured Glomeromycotina. Its description in RNAcentral is "SSU rRNA". It matches the Rfam family "Eukaryotic small subunit ribosomal RNA", at positions 591 to 1092 of the family's 1831-position model. Lineage: Eukaryota; Fungi; Glomeromycota. The record is from RNAcentral.
CCAAUAGCGUAUAUUAAAGUUGUUGCAGUUAAAAAGCUCGUAGUUGAAUUUCGGGAUCAAAUUGUCGGUCGUGCCUCGGUACGUACUGGCGUUAUUGGUUCCUCCCUUCUGAAGAACCACGAUGUCAUUAAUUUGGUGUCGUGGGGAAUCAGGACUGUUACUUUGAAAAAAUUAGAGUGUUUAAAGCAGGCUCGCGCUUGAAUACAUUAGCAUGGAAUAAUGAAAUAGGACGUUUGAUUCUAUUUUGUUGGUUUCUAGGAUCGACGUAAUGAUUAAUAGGGAUAGUUGGGGGCAUUAGUAUUCAAUUGUCAGAGGUGAAAUUCUUGGAUUUAUUGAAGACUAACUACUGCGAAAGCAUUUGCCAAGGAUGUUUUCAUUAAUCAAGAACGAAAGUUAGGGGAUCGAAGACGAUCAGAUACCGUCGUAGUCUUAACCAUAAACUAUGCCGACUAGGGAUCGGAUGAUGUUAAUUUUUUAAUGACUCAUUCGGCGCCUUACG